CAGUCGCCGCGGGAAUACAGAGGGUGCAAGCGUUAAUCGGAAUUACUGGGCGUAAAGGGCGCGUAGGUGGUUGCGUAAGUGAGAUGUGAAAUCCCCGGGCUUAACCUGGGACGUGCAUCUUAUACUGCGUAACUGGAGUGCAAGAGAGGGUAGUGGAAUUUCCGGUGUAGCGGUGAAAUGCGUAGAUAUCGGAAGGAACACCAGUGGCGAAGGCGACUCUCUGGUCUGUAACUGACGCUGAGGAGCGAAAGCGUGGGGAGCGAACAGGAUUAGAUACCCCCGUAGUCCCUGUCUCUUAUAC
RNAcentral lists this ribosomal RNA (301 nucleotides) under uncultured bacterium. RNAcentral's name for it is "partial 16S ribosomal RNA". It matches the Rfam family "Bacterial small subunit ribosomal RNA", at positions 509 to 807 of the family's 1533-position model. The record is from RNAcentral.